This 253-nucleotide ribosomal RNA is filed under the name uncultured bacterium. Its description in RNAcentral is "partial 16S ribosomal RNA". It matches the Rfam family "Bacterial small subunit ribosomal RNA", at positions 524 to 776 of the family's 1533-position model. The record is from RNAcentral.
UACGUAGGGCGCAAGCGUUAUCCGGAAUUACUGGGCGUAAAGGGCUCGUAGGCGGCCAACUAAGUCCGACGUGAAAUCCCUCGGCUUAACCGGGGAACUGCGUCUGAUACUGGAUGGCUUGAGGUUGGGAGAGGGAUGCGGAAUUCCAGGUGUAGCGGUGAAAUGCGUAGAUAUCUGGAGGAACACCGGUGGCGAAGGCGGCUCUCUGGACCACAACUGACGCUGAGGCGCGAAAGCGUGGGGAGCAAACAGG